AAGAACGCUGGCGGCAGGCCUAACACAUGCAAGUCGAACGCCCUCUUCGGAGGGAGUGGCGCACGGGUGAGUAACGCGUGGGAACCUGGCUCUUGGUACGGAACAACCGCGGGAAACUGCGGCUAAUACCGUAUACGCCCUUUUGGGGAAAGAUUUAUCGCCGAGAGAUGGGCCCGCGUCUGAUUAGCUAGUUGGUGAGGUAACGGCUCACCAAGGCAUCGAUCAGUAGCCGGUCUGAGAGGAUGAUCAGCCACACUGGGACUGAGACACGGCCCAGACUCCUACGGGAGGCAGCAGUGGGGAAAUAUUGGGACAAUGGGGGCGCAAGCCUGAUCCAGCCAUGCCGCGUGAGUGAAGAAGGCCCUAGGGUUGUAAAGCUCUUUCAACGGUGACGAUGAUGACGGUAGCCGUAGAAGAAGCCCCGGCUAACUCCGUGCCAGCAGCCGCGGUAAUACGGAGGGGGCAAGCGUUGUUCGGAAUUACUGGGCGUAAAGGGCGCGUAGGCGGUCUGUUGCGUCAGGUGUGAAAGCCCCGGGCUCAACCUGGGAGGUGCACUUGAUACGGGCAGACUGGAAUCCGGGAGAGGAUGGUGGAAUUCCCAGUGUAGAGGUGAAAUUCGUA
RNAcentral lists this ribosomal RNA (621 nucleotides) under uncultured bacterium. RNAcentral's name for it is "bacterial SSU rRNA". It matches the Rfam family "Bacterial small subunit ribosomal RNA", at positions 29 to 692 of the family's 1533-position model. The record is from RNAcentral.